RNAcentral lists this long non-coding RNA (3927 nucleotides) under Strigops habroptila (Kakapo). RNAcentral describes it as "lncRNA (ENSSHBG00005021226.1)". Lineage: Eukaryota; Metazoa; Chordata; Aves; Psittaciformes; Psittacidae. The record is from RNAcentral.
UCUGCUGAGACCUAACAGGCCUCAUCACAUGUAAAUACACCUGUAUGGUAGCGUAUGUAUGGUGCAUGCUUACUAAAGGAAACACCAAGCAGUUCUGAGGGAGCAGAAGGGAUGAAGCCCAGGGAUCUUUCCUGGAAUGGUUGAGUACUUUUCCAAAGAGAUGGCGCCAAGAGGUGCCCUCCCACCUCAACACACACACACACACAAAGAUUGUCUCUCUAGCAUAAAACAGACCCACCUCUGCUUUCCUCCUUCUAGCUGGUUUUGUGUUUCCUGCCCACCUGCUUUUUUCUAUUCUGAAAGCAAAGCCAAGUGUUACGUUCACUUUCUGGGGUAGAUGUUCCCUCCUGCCUUAGAGGGAAGGGGCUUUUUGGAGACCACCCAUGUGAGGUCCCAUCUCUAUCUCUUGCCUGGCUGUACUCUUGCCUCCAUUACACCUUCCUAUAGGAAAGCUGCCCAGACUUCAAGGCCUUUUCUCCUCUCUCCUUCCCUAUCCUUCCCUAUCCCAGCUUCAAAGUAAUGGGAGGGGAAGAUCCUGAGAUAGAGAUGGCAGCUCAGCAACUCUGCUUUAUUGGGGACAGUGAUGUGAUGGAAGACAGCAUUAAAAAUGGGCUAUGGAUGUAUUUUUAGGAAAAAAAAAAUAAAUCUCUAAGCAGUAGGGAAGGGAAGUUUUUAAUUAUCUUAAAGGCUUUGGUCUUACUCACUCAUUCUAUCUCCCUUUGAGGCUUAGGAAGAUCAACUUUAGGAUUUUAAAAUACGACAGAAUGCCUUUUAGGGCCUUUAUUUUUAUUUCAUUUUAAGAGGGAAAGAAAGAAACGUUCUUCCUUCCUGUGCCAGGCUGAGACAUGAGCGCUGAGUGCUGAUGACAGGCAUUGGGUGAGGAGUAGCAGAAGUUGUUGGCAAUGGUGGGGAUGUGCAGAAUGUCAGGGAAAGGGAGACAGUGAAGGCAGACGCAGGAAACUCUUUUUUACCUUGCAAGGUAAAAUCCAGACAACGAUUUCCAUAGGGAUUGUGCCCCUGGGGCUAUUGCCAGUGACAAAACCCAUAGUGCAUCAGGGACUGGCUCCUCUCAGUGCUCUUUGGAUGUCUGCCGGCUCUGCUGAAAUGUUAGAUGAAAAAGUUCAUAUAUUUAACCUGGACAUAAGCCCAGCUGGGGUUAGGGAAGUGGACAAGGGCUGGGGUGAGGGGUUCCCUAUGCUUGACCAGCUAUCCAGGGCAGGAGCCUGCUCUCUUCCAGGUCCCCUUAUUUCUGAGCCUGACCCAAGGUGUGCCAGCAGGUCUAAGAUGUUUUCUUAGCUGUGUGGAGCAGGGCACUAGACUACUGCUUUUAUAAGAAGUAGCAAAUGUACUGAAAAGGAACAGGCACAGCCUCAGGGAGUACUGCAGAAGCAGAAGACAGAAAAAAACUGUAAGAAAAGCCUGAACAAAAGUCCAGUUUCCUUCCAGACCAGAGCAGCUUUCUUCUGUCCAGCCCCUCAGGGCAGUGAGGAUGCUCCGCAUCUCACAACCGGGUCCAGGGAGAGGUCCUCACCCCCAGCCAAGGCUCAGCCACUCACUCUCCAGCCAGAUGUGAGGCACAGCUGGCAUGAUCUGCUGCUGGCUCCCUCCAGGGUGACAUGCCGUCUCAUCACACAACCGGGAUCUCAUCCAACCUGCCCAAAGCUUCCUGGGAAAUCAUACAUGUGGCAUCAUGUCCAGUCAAUGUAGCGUGUAGCUACCAUUUUAUUUUGCUCACUGCUGCAGUGGAAGGGGUGGUAUCCAGGAGGGACUGGCACUGCCCUCCCUUCUCAGUGGUUACUUCACUGCCUGAGAGGAAUGGCAGUACUUGUUUGUUUGCUUUUUCCAAGAGCACAGCAAGCCACUGAAUGUUUGUGUGCGUGUGUUAAAAUAAAUAAAUUAGAUUUUACUUGACGUUUAACACGAAAUGACAACAAGAAAACCUGAAGGUACUUGAUGAAAUAAUUUUUUUAGAUAAAAUAUUUAUAACAAUGCCUAUGAAGUUCCUACAAGAGAGGUUUGCUGCUUUAAUAAUUGAUCAGGAGAGCUGCAAGAAUUUAAGGAAGAAAUAAGGAAGCUUCCAUGAGACUCCCUUCUACAUGCUGGAUGAAGGGUGGAAGCGAGUUAAAUGAAGUGCCAAGGUACCUGAGGCACAGCAGUCUCUCAGGGCAAGUUGGCUCCAUUUCCCUGACCUUGCAAAGGCUAAUGCUGGCCUUGAGCUUUGGACAGAGAAACAAAUGUAGGUAACACUUGCUGUCUUCUAGCCUGCUGGCUACACCACCUUCUGUUGGGUUCAGCUAGAGAGACACCAAACUACUCUAUUCCAGGUUGUCGUGCAACAGGUUGUUCUAAAUUCUACUGUGUAGCUGAGCCCUUUGGACUUCACUUCUAAAAGUAUGGAUAUUUUUUUCCUUUGGAGGUUGGCCUUGAAGGAUGACAAGCACUUUAAAGCAUGUCUACACCUCAUCUGAUCUAUUGUAUUGUCUGCUCCCACAGCUCUCCCACACACAAGCGAGACACACAGACUGAAUGUAGCUGUAGUAUGGUGUAUAGAUACCCUUGCACACAGACUGAUCUUUGACAGGGUGCAGGCUAGAAGGAGCAUGUCAGUGACAACCUAAUGAGGGAACAAAAUGUGUGCCACAGCUCAUCUGGAGGGACCAGUCCAAAGAAAAAUCACCAGCCCUCGACAGCAGUGAUUCUGCUCAUGAACCUAACACAAUCUUUCAGGUGGAGGGAUCAGGCAGGAAGCUGCUGCAGAUAUUAGAUCAACCCUAAUAACCACUGUCUUUGCUGUCGGAUUCAUAUCCUUCUAUAUUAAAAGAAGAAGGGAAGGGGGAGAGAGAAAAGAGAAGCCCAGAGGAAAGUAUUCUGUAUUCUGCAGUGAGUGUUGAGUAGUCAGUGGCCAAAGAAGAAGUUGGCUCUGCAGGAUGGAAGAAGAGAACAAGGUGAGGUCUACAAAGCUGCGUUAUGCAGACCAUCAGGCUCUGUCCUGAGACUCUCUUGCUCAUGCUGGUGCAGGGCCAGUGAAAUUAAUCUGUUUACACCAAUAGCAAAGGGAUGGAGAAACUGCAGCAGGAGAAGCAGGCUUAGUGCAAACAAUUUGGGUUUAAUGCAGUGUUUGUCCACUGCUGUAGCACUUUUAAUGCUAUAGUCUGGGCCACUGUGGUAGCAACACUUUUAGUGCUUUCUGUAAGAUCUUCAAAGCAUCCCACUGUUCACCUUUUCUCUCCUCCCUGUAGAUGAAAGGUGUGGAUACAGUCCACAACCAGAAUUUCAUCAAUACGCAAACUUCUUCAGACUUCUUCAACGAAAGGGUACCAGCAGAUUUGGAAGUGUUUGAGGGCCGCUGAGCUGUAAGAGUUUGAGUUCUGUUACGUGUUUCUUGGAAGGCUCAACCUGCAAUUAUCUGCACAUGUUUGUGAGGUUUCCAAAACAAAUCUGAGCCCUAGAUCAAGGAAGCUGCUGCUUGGCAGAGUCUCUGCUUUGAAAUGCAAGUUGCUGAGCAAGCUCCCCCAUCUCCCACUCCACCAGCUGCCUCACUGUGCUAGUGUAGGCUCCAGGGACUGCCGGCAGUGUUUCGUGAGCUAGAGCUGUCCUCGUCCUGCUUGCUCUUCCACAGCUAUGCCUGGGACAGCAGCUUUGAAGUCACCCACUCUUCAACACUAGUCACAACCCCAUCUGAAUGUGUCUUUUUAACAACUAACAACAGAAGUGUUACCUGUGUGUAGGCUUUUGAAAGCACCUGUCUGUCUGUACCUGUUCCCUGCUGUAAAUAUCACUGAGAAAAGCUUCCUUUGGGAAAAGUGGUGUGGUCACACCUAGCAAAGAGUCCAAAUGGCUACUAUUUUGUAACAAAAUUAACAAAAAUAGAUCAGAGGUAUUUUAUCUGUUCAAUUAAUAGAGUUUUAGAAAUUAUAUUGAGAUAUG